Long non-coding RNA from Mus caroli (Ryukyu mouse), 1324 nucleotides. RefSeq lists it as uncharacterized. The record is from RefSeq and is a predicted model, not a curated record. NCBI's taxonomy places the organism in Eukaryota, Metazoa, Chordata, Mammalia, Rodentia, Muridae.
UCUCAAAGAAAAGCAAUGCACCCGAACCUCAGAAAGCACUUGGGAGGCGGCAUGGGGCAAGCAACGUGAGAGUUUAUCUACAAACAACAGUUGGAGAAAGAGUUGAUGGGAAAAAGUAGAAGAAAGUUGUGCUGCACAACCAGGCAUCCUAGAGAACGUGCUGGGACCAGGGACCAAGAAGAACUCUGCAGCUCAAGGACCUACUUAGAAAAAUGGACAUCAGCAGCAACAAACAAUGACCCAGGCUCUGACUGAGCAUCUCCAGGACCCAAACCUAGUGUCAUCAUCACCAAUAUAUCCUUCCCCAAAGAGAAAUUUAUCACAUUCUUUCAGAACAUCUUAUCAAAAACUAUCUGUAUUCUGACAAUAGGAACAUAUAAGCAUGCCUACCAUGUAAGAGAGAAGGAACAUGUGGAACAGUUAGAGUGGCAUCGGCAAAAUUCCAGAGCACGACUAUCAUUCCUACUUGAACACAGGGCCCUGAGACUCCGUAGUCUUUCUGGUCUUGAGAUAGGACAGAGAAGAGACACAAAGACUGCUAUGACAGCAGAGAUGGCCUCUGCAUCUUAGAAGAUCUUUAGAAAGCCUCAGUCAUGGGGGAACAAUACUGAUGCUCAGCUUUACCUACCUGACUGUAUGUAACCCUGGGAAGCAAAUUAGCACUGCUGUCAUCUAAAGCUGUAUAGGAAUGGUCACUCUGUAGAAGCAGCCAGAAGGCAAACCCUAGGUUCUAUCACACUGGAGUCUGGCGAGGAUGGAAAGUGGAAGCUUUCAAUAGUCAAAUGACAAAAAGAAGAUUAAGAGGGAGAUCAAAGGUGAUUUUGGAAGAGGAGAUCAAAUUAUUUAAUAAUUGGAUAGCCGCAUUCCAUAAAUAGGCUUCAACAUAGACGCAUGCGGAGAAAAACCAAAUCCAUCUCUAUUUAAUCCCUCCUUUCUAGGAGAAGAACAGAGGACUUUUUACUCACACCAUCUACAUUCCAAUCAACUGUCUUGGUCUUAAGUUUUGAUCUGUUGGGUUUUCAGAUUGCUGACUACUUAACAGGGCUGUUUCUGCAUGGGAAGUCACUUGGGCUGAGUCUCUGAUUUAUAGCUCUGACCACAGCUCACCAGAAGGAUGGGAUAUUGAUGGUCAAGAAAGGACAUUGGCCUUUAAAGUGAUUGAAGGAACUUGCUUUGGGGAAAGUGAGAAGAGAAAGAGGAGAGACAUGAAUGUAUCAAGACUAGCAAUCUGAAAGCCUCAACGGCCAUCAAUCAAACUGCCCCUUAUGAAGGCAAAUGAAUAGUGCUAGAAAACAACAAAAAAACCCAUCCUGAAUGAAGACCU